CCUACGGGAGGCAGCAGUGGGGAAUUUUGGACAAUGGGCGCAAGCCUGAUCCAGCAAUGCCGCGUGAGUGAAGAAGGCCUUCGGGUUGUAAAGCUCUUUUGUCAGGGAAGAAACGGUGGGGGCUAAUAUCUCCUACUAAUGACGGUACCUGAAGAAUAAGCACCGGCUAACUACGUGCCAGCAGCCGCGGUAAUACGUAGGGUGCAAGCGUUAAUCGGAAUUACUGGGCGUAAAGCGUGCGCAGGCGGUUUUGUAAGUCUGUCGUGAAAGCCCCGGGCUCAACCUGGGAAUUGCGAUGGAGACUGCAAGGCUUGAAUCUGGCAGAGGGGGGUAGAAUUCCACGUGUAGCAGUGAAAUGCGUAGAGAUGUGGAGGAACACCGAUGGCGAAGGCAGCCCCCUGGGUCAAGAUUGACGCUCAUGCACGAAAGCGUGGGGAGCAAACAGGAUUAGAUACCCUGGUAGUCCACGCCCUAAACGAUGUCUACUAGUUGUCGGGUUUUAAUUAACUUGGUAACGCAGCUAACGCGUGAAGUAGACCGCCUGGGGAGUCGGUCGCAAGAUUAAAACUCAAGAGAGUGCGNGNGAGAGNGACGAGACGACGACGAGGAG
RNAcentral lists this ribosomal RNA (610 nucleotides) under uncultured bacterium. Its description in RNAcentral is "bacterial SSU rRNA". It matches the Rfam family "Bacterial small subunit ribosomal RNA", at positions 338 to 943 of the family's 1533-position model. The record is from RNAcentral.